RNAcentral lists this long non-coding RNA (205 nucleotides) under Elaeis guineensis (African oil palm). Its description in RNAcentral is "long non-coding RNA (EGUI_LNC011414)". Lineage: Eukaryota; Viridiplantae; Streptophyta; Magnoliopsida; Arecales; Arecaceae. The record is from RNAcentral.
UAGUUUGCCACCGCGGGCUAAAGCAUAGUUAUUCUAGUUCACCGUCAUAGGCUAAAGUGUGAUUUAUAGCUUGCUAGUCACAGACUGCAGCAUGAUCGUGGUGAGUCUGAAAUACUAAAGACAAUGGUUGAUUGAUCUAGAUCAUGUUAAUGAGAUAUGGAUGACAAGCUACAAAAUCAUAAUUAAAUAAAAAUGAGUUUUACCU